AAGCAAGUAGGUCAAAAUAGGUCAUUAGGAUGAGCCCUACUCCGGUAUGACUAGUGUCCACAGAAGAGGAGAUUAGGACCCUGACAACACAGCAAGAGGACCACGAGAAGGACACAGGGAGAAGGCAGCCCACUACCAGUCAAGGAGAGAGACCUCAGAAGAAACCAAACCUGCUAACACCUUGCUCUUGGACGUCUAGCCUCCAGAAUUGUGAGAAAACAAAUUGCUGUUGUUUAAGCCACUGGUCUGUGGUAUCUUGUUAUAACAGCCUGAGCACAUCAAUACAUACGUCGUCUAUCCUUUCCAGUAUCCAACAGUGAAAGCUCCCUAGAAAUUCUCUUCUGGCCCCAAGAGGAAAAGCAAAGGAACCAGAAAAUCCUGGACAAGUGAUAGCUGCUUUAAUGGCUCUGACUCUUGAUUUUGAAGAAGUGCUGAUCCUUUUGUGAGACAAGCGUUUGACUCGGACUCUAAGUGCAACAGUUCACAGAUACUUAAUUGGGCAUCUAGGACACCACCAGAAACAAGUUCCGUAUCUUUGGGAAGCCUCAUGCAUUGUAAAGAACACAGGCUUGGAGUCAACUUGGCAGCACUGGCCUGGUACAUAACAGAUAUGCAAGAGCAGUUCCUUAGCUGAAUGAUCCAGCAGAGGAAAAGCCAAAGCACACCUCGGUGUCUUGGGACCCUCAGUCUCCUCCCUUGAGCUAGGUGUUACACGGAAAUCCAGUGACCUCAACAUAAACAAUUGUGCAUAAUCAAUUGCAAGCUGUAGCCUGUUCUGGAUAGGAAAUUAGACCCAUUCCAAAGUCAAUGGGGGAAAACAAGACACUCCAAGCAAGAUGACCAUGGGACUGCAUGGAGCCUUCUAUAAUUAGGAACUUUUCUGUUGCAUUGUGUUCCAGUGUUGAAGUGGAAUGGGAGGUGGCAGGACACUUAACCAAAAGGAGCAAGAAGGUAUCUGGUCUAUUCCCAUUUUCCUGCCCCACUUGUCCAAAGUCAGAGUCCAGGGCACACUCUGACUCGGCCCUCUCCCCUUCCUGAAGACAAUCUUAUUCCUCAAAAGGAGUCAUGGCCUGCUUUGAUCCUAACCUGGCCCCCAAGGCAACCUCAGUUUCUAUAGGUUCUUGAUGACCCAGUUCUUUGGAACUAACCCCAAAGUGAUAUGCUGACUCUAUCUUUCUGAACAAGGUCCAUGGACUGACCCAUAUUCUGCAAAGAAUGAAAGAGAUUUCAAAUUAGACCUGCAUCAUAGUAUUGGAGAUGCCCCAACAAAUUAGAAGGCCAGGAAGCGUGAAGCAUUAGACUGGGGUACAGAAAAUCCCAGCACUGCACACAGCAUAUUCAAAAUCAAGAACAAGAGAACUCUACUGGAGAGUAAAAUCUAGGGCCCGAAUGUGAUUAUAUGCCUGGUGAUGAUGGUAACAAUGAAAAAGAACAUAGCACCAGAAAAAAAGCAUUCCUAAUGAGACCAAUUCUUAACACUGGUUAAACUAUAAAAUGGGAGAAGACAAGUUUUAUUUUUCCUAUAAAAUCCACACUAAAGUAAUCAUUGAAAUACUAAAUGUAACCCAAUGUCCAUGAAACUAUGGCCACUCACCAAAAAAAUACAACAGAACUCAUAUGUAUCUUAAUAUGAUCAAAUUUAUUGUAAUUGAAUUAAGUGACAAUACUAAGCUGAACUGCUCAGUCUUCUUAGCUUGUGACUCAUGGUGGUCAAAUUGUACCUAAAGUAAUAAAACACAACAGUGGCUAAGAAACCUUGAUACUAUUUCAUUUGUCUAAAUCCAACUCCAUAUCCAUACCCCCAGAUAUUAUAUAAAAUGUACAUUGCUUUAUUUUAAAUCUCCAUCAUUUUAUGACUUGUUACUAUGUUCAUAUUUUAAAAUAAAAUAAAAUAAAAUGUAUUGCCUGAGAAUUUUUGAGGGGUUAUAAUUUUCUUUGGUAUGGGCAUUGUAAUGUAGUA
This is a long non-coding RNA of Neofelis nebulosa (Clouded leopard), 1960 nucleotides long. RefSeq lists it as uncharacterized. NCBI's taxonomy places the organism in Eukaryota, Metazoa, Chordata, Mammalia, Carnivora, Felidae. The record is from RefSeq and is a predicted model, not a curated record. The transcript is spliced from 3 exons.